ACUCAACUCACAGGAGGGACACUAAUAUAUAUCUGGCUCAGUGUUCAGGUGAUGUGACUCUCCUGCCUGGUUCUGCCCACAGGUAGAAGAGUCAGCAACUCUUGUGAGUUGGGUCCAAGUACAUGAGUCACAAUCUCAACAGUGGACUGCAUCCUCACGUGAGAGCCCCAAUUCCUUCUGCAAGCUGUGUCCUGGGCCGGGAUGACGGCGGAAGCAACGACGGCUGCAGAUGCCGCUGGCCCGGUGGGUAGGUGCUGGGGGGCCUAAGCUGGGCGGAGCUCACAGGGCCCAGCGCCUGGGGCCUGCAGGUGGCCCUGGAGGAAUCACCCACCCGUGUCUUCCGGGAGACAAGUGUGGACGACGCCGUGGACAAGCCCUUCCUAGCUGGAACAUUUGCGAGGCUGGAAUUUAAGCUCGGGCAGACAAGCGGCCAGAAUAAGGAAUGGA
Long non-coding RNA from Symphalangus syndactylus (siamang), 447 nucleotides. RefSeq lists it as uncharacterized. The record is from RefSeq and is a predicted model, not a curated record. Lineage: Eukaryota; Metazoa; Chordata; Mammalia; Primates; Hylobatidae.